Molecule: long non-coding RNA, 2290 nt
Organism: Oreochromis aureus
Lineage: Eukaryota; Metazoa; Chordata; Actinopteri; Cichliformes; Cichlidae
Source: Ensembl
UAAUAAUUUCAUUUAAUUCUAGUUUUGUUUUGCGUAAAUUGUUUAAUAUUUCUUGAUCUUGGUGUGAUACAUAGGCUUUUUCUAAGGAUUUGAUGUUUUUUUCCAGUUCUUGAAUAUUUUUGUUUUCUUCUUUCUUCUUAUGUGAUGAGAAAGAGAUUAUUUUACCUCUCAUCACAGCUUUCCCUGCUUCCCAGAGGACAGAUGCUGAUGUUCCAGGAAUGUCAUUAAAGUCUAAAUAUGAAGUCCAUUCUUUUUUAAAGUAUUUGAUAAACUCUUCAUCUUUGAGCAGCGAUGUAUUAAAUCUCCAGUUUUUACUUGGUGUGGUAUUAUUCUUCUGCAUUAGUGUUAAAGAUACAGGAGCAUGAUCGCUGACAGCUAUAGGAUGAAUCUCAGUGUCUGAAAUGUCACUCAGCAGUGAGCUGCUGACCAAAAAAUAAUCCAGACGAGAGUAGGAGUGAUGAACAUGUGAGAAGAAAGAAUAUUCCUUACUGUUGGGGUGAAGGGAGCGCCAUGCAUCGCAAAGACCAAAGUCGCUCAUAUACUGUUUGAUUAUAUUUGUGGACUGCCAAUUACGCUGAGUUCCUGUUGUAUUGAGCCUAUCCAUUUCUUCAUUUAGUCCCAGGUUGAGGUCUCCCCCAAGAACAAUUGUGCAAUCUAGGUGUUCGGAGAGUGCACUAAAAAAACCGUGGAAGAAUGAGGGGUCAUCAACAUUCGGACCAUAUAUACUUACAAUACCUAGCUUUUGGUUAAGUAUAGAUAGUUUGACUAUUAGGAAUCUGCCCUCUGGAUCUAUAACUGUAUCGAGUACUGUGAAAUUAAUAUUUUUAUGUAUUAGAAUUGCUACUCCUCUUUGUCUAGAAUUAUAACAGGCUGAGAACACAUUAGGAAACUCAGGUGUUUUAAGUUUAUUCAGACCUGUGACAGGCAUGUGGGUUUCUUGUAAUAAAACAACGUCUGCCUGUAGUUUUUUAAGUUGGUUAAGUAUUUUUAACCUUUUUUCCCUAGAGCCAGCUCCAUGCACAUUCCAUGAGACAAACCUUAGCGUGCCCAUAGUUGUGUGUUUGUGGCUAAUGACAUAUGCUGUGUGUCUUGCUUAGACGGGUGAGGAAAAUGGAAACACAUCUUUUUUUUUUUUUUUUUUUUUUUUUUUUAAAUAGAGAGAAGAAAAUGCGCAGCGUGAAGCUCCAUAGGUCUGACUAUGUGUGUGCAUAAUAACUAAAAUGAGCAAAUGUGUGCGUGUGUGUCCUAUAUCUGUGUGCACUGUGUGGCUGUUGUAAAUGUGUUGCCUUUAAACGCAUGUGUGUGCGUGAUCGUGCAGAGUGAGCAUGUAGAAAUAGACAGUGUCCUUUGUGGAUGGAUAGGGAAACAGGUGAUCGACAUAGUGAAAGAAAAGAGAAGCAAGGAAACCAAAGAGCAAGCGUGAAAUCAGGGAACAGUUAUUUACAAAUGACUUUCCCGCAAUGAAGACAUCCCACCACCACCAGCAGCGCCACCAUCGCCACAGUGAACACAGUCCGUGAGAUGAGUGCUCUCCACCAUCGUCCAAAUAAAGACUUGUCAUAAUGCACAACGACUUCACACUUUUUUGACUACAGCACUGGACCUCCCUAACUCUCCAAAAGUUGAUUCUGUUCAUCUGGACGUAGCGUUUUGUGGGAGAAACGUUUCAUCACUCAUCGAAGUGACUUCUUCAGUCUGAAGAAGUCACUUGCCUUGUGUCUGCUCCCUCCUGGAAUCAGAAAGACAGACAAAAACAAAACCCAUCUCCCUGCCUGUACUUGAUCAUUUUACUAUUACUCAUUCUAAUAUCUAGCUCAGGACAUUCUGUUUGGACUGAAUGACAAAAAGUUUUGUCAUAACUUACAGCAACAAAGGGGUAAGGUAACAAAAUUAUUUUUUCAAGCAUAAAUUUUGGGUCACCAGUUUGGUUCAACUGCAUAUUUUAAUUUGUUGCUAUUUCUUAAAAAGAAAAUAUAUACAAUUUAAAUAAUCUACAUUUACUUCAUAUCUUUGUUGUCACUUUGUAGAUUAAUCUCACAAAAUACGUUUGACUAAUAAAAUAUUUUACAGUGUUGUGCUUAACUCCCUAAAUUACCUGCCGAGGCUUCACUCAUUCAUUGUUAUGACCCCACUUUGACCUUUGAAAAAAAGGUUUCUAAUUUUGCAUAUGACGGACAUGAGGUGGUUGUGGCAUUAGUAGAAAACUUUAACAGACCUUUAUAGCCUGUUAAACAGAAGUUUACUUUUAGAAGUUAAAUAGAAGUAUUUAAGGAAGCUAAGCCCAGAGGAG